CACACACACACACACACACACACACUAAAGGACUAUGUUGAGUUUUUGCAAAGGUAAAAACCAUCACAACUGCAAAUAGUGUGUUUGGUCUGAUGCAGUAUGUAUUUUAAAGGAAUAAUUUGAAUUUUUGAAGUGGGUUUGUAUAGGACACUUAUCCAUAGACAGUUUAUUUAAUGCAGUGGAUAUCAGUCAACAUGCUCCCAGUUCGGAAAAGCAAGUUGGAUUCCAACAUUGAAGCUCAGCAAUGUACCACUGUGGACGUGAACAGCAACAAAAUCUAAACAAAAAAUCUCUAUCAGUUUAGUUGUAGGCUAAGUCGAGACAGUUUUUCAAUGCUUUACCUUUUCAUCAGACAGCCCAUUCUAGCGGGGAAGCCGUUAACUGCUUCAGUUCCUCAUCCAUGCUGUCUGGAAAGCCACCAGAUUCAAUUAAGAAAAACAGUAGCUGCUGGUCUACUCAUGGUUCCCACGCUGGUGUUAAAAAGUCUUAAAUCCAACAAUCCAAUUUUUUAAUUUUUUUAAUUUUGGUUAUUAGGUCUAAAAGAUGAGGUGUUGGUCUUAAAAAUGAGAUUAGCUCUCUAUUGUGUUAAAAAUGUUUAGUGUUCUCGCGGCACUUGCUUAGCUAGCCAGCGUUCCUGCUUGCUGUAGAAUCAAGUGACUCCCUGACCAUGGCUAGCCUACACUGCGCCAUGGUAAACAUGCGUUUAGUUCGAGUUGGUUGAACGUAGACUGUCGUUUGCUCCAUUUAAGAGCUUCUAACUUUACUUCGUUUUGAGUUUCCAUGCUCGCUAUGUAAUUUGAGAAGCCAUGGGCAAGUGUAGGUUUAAUGAGCUGUGGCUAGAUUAAAGCGUGUAUAGGUCCUGGUUAAAAGCAGCGGAUGGGAAUCUGCACGAAGCCCGUUGCACUUAGUGCAUAACAAAUAUUCAACUCAGAACAUUAAGGGUAAAGGCUCUGGAAUCGCAUGCGAUCUUCGCGUCCUCGAAACAUGAGACCCAAAUAAGAGGUCUGCAACACACCAGACAACUCUCCUCCAUACUUCCUCCUUCGAGGGACCCAGUGCCUGCAGCACCGGCUCCGCCUCCAACCUCCCAGCCACCUGCUACUGCUACACAGUCUCCCGGUACCUCUACUUGGCCUCCCGCUACUGAAGGAAGAAUCGACCUUGCGCUGGGAUCCACGCCAACACUGGUGGAGGAAGUGUGCAGGACUUGCUGGUGAGUAUCAAAGUAAGUAGCUAACGCAAAUCAAUUAUUUAUCUGUUCCAUUUGGUAGCUAAACAUUUUUCUAGAAUGCCACUAGCUGUAGUGUCUCAGCUAACUUUAUAUCAGUGGGCCUAUUGUAGGCUAACGUUAACUUAGCCUACUUGUCUCAUCUGUGAACAUACUAGCAACAUGUAUAUUCAUUUUCAGCUUCAUAGGAAUGAGUGUUUGAGUACAUUUGAAAUGUGUGUUGGUACGUAGCCAAUAUGGCAAUUAUCACGGCCAUUUGAAUAUUCUCCGUCACCCUUCCUGUAGCUGCAGUUGAGUAUUAGACUACACAUUUGUUCAUCCUGCAACCCUUGUUGUUUUCAUUUGUAAUGCUGAACUCGGCUAUGAACAACAUGGAUAUUGCCUAACAUUAAUUUUUGUGUUUCAGGAGUGUAUUAACCAGCUCCAUGUAAGGAGCCUGGUCUCUGUGUCGAUGGACGGUCCCAAUGUAAAUUGGAAAUUCUUCGACCUUCUCCAGGAGGAGCAGGCUCAUCGCUAUGGAGGUGAUGUUAUACUGGAGCAGUUCGGUGUUCUCCUGUUCCGUGAGGGGAGAAGUGAGGAGUUCCACUCUUUCCAACCCAUGUGAAAGAGAGUGGAUGUCUUCUUGUGUGAUGUCCUCAGCAAGCCCUACCCUGACCUCUGGGCUUUUUGCCAGAAGCUGCUCAUCUUGUCCCAUGGUCAAGCGUCUGUCGAGAGAGGCUUUUCGGUGAACAAAGAGGUGGAGACAACCAACAUAAUGGAGGACACUGUUGUUGCUUGGCGGCUUGUGUGCGACUAUGUCGCUCUACACUGAGGUGUUACUCAGGUGCCACUCACUAAGGACCUCCUGAAGUCUGCGGAAGGAGCUCGGACCAGGUACUGUGACUACCUUACAUAGGAGAGAGGGAAGAAGGAGUUAGAAGCGCAGGCUCAGAAGAGAAAGGCUGCAGAGGACAACUUCGAGAAACUAAGAACGAGACAGAAAACCAUCCUAGAGGUGUGUCAAGGUCUGGCCAGAGAGGCUGAUAAGUCAGUAGAAGAGGCAGAGGCCAAGUCUGGCACGAAGAUGGCCGAGCUCAUCUCCAAGUCCAAUAUCCUGCGAAAGGGCAGCAAGGAGAAGUUGGCUGAGCUUGAGAUCAUUGAGAAGGAGAUAGAGGCAAAUGGAGC
Epinephelus fuscoguttatus (brown-marbled grouper) is the source of this 2392-nucleotide long non-coding RNA. RefSeq lists it as uncharacterized. The record is from RefSeq and is a predicted model, not a curated record. Lineage: Eukaryota; Metazoa; Chordata; Actinopteri; Perciformes; Serranidae. The transcript has 3 exons.